RNAcentral lists this transfer RNA (83 nucleotides) under Candidatus Woesearchaeota archaeon. RNAcentral's name for it is "tRNA-Phe". It matches the Rfam family "tRNA". From Rfam's summary of the family: Transfer RNA (tRNA) molecules are approximately 80 nucleotides in length. Their secondary structure includes four short double-helical elements and three loops (D, anti-codon, and T loops). Further hydrogen bonds mediate the characteristic L-shaped molecular structure. tRNAs have two regions of fundamental functional importance: the anti-codon, which is responsible for specific mRNA codon recognition, and the 3' end, to which the tRNAs corresponding amino acid is attached (by aminoacyl-tRNA synthetases). tRNAs cope with the degeneracy of the genetic code in two manners: having more than one tRNA (with a specific anti-codon) for a particular amino acid; and 'wobble' base-pairing, i.e. permitting non-standard base-pairing at the 3rd anti-codon position. Lineage: Archaea; Nanobdellati; Candidatus Woesearchaeota. The record is from RNAcentral.
GCCGGGGUCGCCUAACCCGGUAUGGCAACAGUCUGAACAACUGUACCUGAAAAGGUCUCAGGGUUCAAAUCCCUGCCCCUGCG